GACGAACGCUGGCGGCGUGCUUAACACAUGCAAGUCGAGCGGUAAGGCCCUUUCGGGGAUACACGAGCGGCGAACGGGUGAGUAACACGUGGGUGACCUGCCCUCAGCUCUGGGAUAAGCCUGGGAAACCGGGUCUAAUACCGGAUAUGACUCCAUGACGCAUGUUGUGGGGUGGAAAGCCUUGUGCGGCUGAGGAUGGGCCCGCGGCCUAUCAGCUUGUUGGUGGGGNGAUGGCCUACCAAGGCGACGACGGGUAGCCGGCCUGAGAGGGCGACCGGCCACACUGGGACUGAGACACGGCCCAGACUCCUACGGGAGGCAGCAGUGGGGAAUCUUGCGCAAUGGGCGAAAGCCUGACGCAGCGACGCCGCGUGAGGGAUGACGGCCUGGUGU
RNAcentral lists this ribosomal RNA (393 nucleotides) under uncultured bacterium. RNAcentral describes it as "bacterial SSU rRNA". It matches the Rfam family "Bacterial small subunit ribosomal RNA", at positions 28 to 422 of the family's 1533-position model. The record is from RNAcentral.